Molecule: ribosomal RNA, 516 nt
Filed under: uncultured bacterium
Lineage: Bacteria
Description: bacterial SSU rRNA
Rfam family: Bacterial small subunit ribosomal RNA
Source: RNAcentral
CAGAACGAACGGCUGGCGGCGUGCUUAACACAUGCAAGUCGAACGCGAAAGGGGACUUCGGUCCUGAGUAAAGUGGCGCACGGGUGAGUAACGCGUAGAUAACCUGUCUUCAUGUCUGGAAUAAUACGCCGAAAGGGGUACUAAUACCGGAUAUUCUUGCUUUUCAUAAGUUAUGCAAGCAAAGGUGGCCUCUGCAUAUGCUACUGCAUGAAGAGGGGUCUGCGUACCAUUAGCUAGUAGGUGGGGUAAUGGCCUACCUAGGCGACGAUGGUUAGCGGGUCUGAGAGGAUGAUCCGCCACACUGGCACUGGAACACGGGCCGGACUCCUACGGGAGGCAGCAGUGAGGAAUAUUGCGCAAUGGGGGAAACCCUGACGCAGCGACGCCGCGUGAGUGAAGGAAGGCCUUCGGGUCGUAAAGCUCUGUCAAGAGGAAAGAAGUGUACAAUGGCUAAUACCUGUUGUAUUUGACGGUACCUCUAAAGGAAGCACCGGCUAACUCCGUGCCAGCCGCAGC